This 253-nucleotide ribosomal RNA is filed under the name uncultured bacterium. Its description in RNAcentral is "partial 16S ribosomal RNA". It matches the Rfam family "Bacterial small subunit ribosomal RNA", at positions 524 to 776 of the family's 1533-position model. The record is from RNAcentral.
UACGUAGGGGGCAAGCGUUGUCCGGAAUCAUUGGGCGUAAAGCGCGUGUAGGCGGCCCGGUAAGUCCGCUGUAAAAGUCCAGGGCUCAACCCUGGAAAGCCGGUGGAUACUGUCGGGCUCGAGUCCGGAAGAGGCGAGUGGAAUUCCUGGUGUAGCGGUGAAAUGCGCAGAUAUCAGGAGGAACACCGAUGGCGAAGGCAGCUCGCUGGGACGGUACUGACGCUGAGACGCGAAAGCGUGGGGAGCGAACAGG